RNAcentral lists this ribosomal RNA (523 nucleotides) under uncultured Glomeromycotina. RNAcentral describes it as "SSU rRNA". It matches the Rfam family "Eukaryotic small subunit ribosomal RNA", at positions 569 to 1092 of the family's 1831-position model. The record is from RNAcentral. Lineage: Eukaryota; Fungi; Glomeromycota.
AGCAGCCGCGGUAAUUCCAGCUCCAAUAGCGUAUAUUAAAGUUGUUGCAGUUAGAAAGCUCGUAGUUGAACUUCGGGGUUUACCCAUUGGUCAGGCUUAAUUGUCUGCACUGGUGAGAUGAAUCUCUACCUUCUGAGGAACUUUUAUGCCAUUUAUUUGGUGUGAUGGGAAAUCAGGACUGUUACUUUGAAAAAAUUAGAGUGUUUAAAGCAGGCUAACGUCUGAAUACAUUAGCAUGGAAUAAUGAAAUAGGACGGACUGAUUCUAUUUCGUUGGUUUCUAGGAUCACCGUAAUGAUUAAUAGGGAUAGUUGGGGCAUUAGUAUUCAAUUGUCAGAGGUGAAAUUCUUGGAUUUAUUGAAGACUAACAACUGCGAGAGCAUUUGCCAAGGAUGUUUUCAUUAAUCAAGAACGAAAGUUAGGGGAUCGAAGACGAUCAGAUACCGUCGUAGUCUUAACCAUAAACUAUGCCGACUAGGGAUCGGACGAAGUUAAUUUUAUAAUGACGCGUUCGGCACCUUACG